GGCCUAACACAUGCAAGUCGAGCGGAUGAGGGAAGCUUGCUUCCCAAUUUAGCGGCGGACGGGUGAGUAAUGCCUAGGAAUCUGCCUAUUAGUGGGGAUAACGUUCCGAAAGGAACGCUAAUACCGCAUACGUCCUACGGGAGAAAGUGGGGGAUCUUCGGACCUCACGCUAAUAGAUGAGCCUAGGUCGGAUUAGCUAGUUGGUGGGGUAACGGCUCACCAAGGCGACGAUCCGUAGCUGGUCUGAGAGGAUGAUCAGCCACACUGGAACUGAGACACGGUCCAGACUCCUACGGGAGGCAGCAGUGGGGAAUAUUGGACAAUGGGCGAAAGCCUGAUCCAGCCAUGCCGCGUGUGUGAAGAAGGUCUUCGGAUUGUAAAGCACUUUAAGUUGGGAGGAAGGGUUGUAAGCUAAUAUCUUGCAGCUUUGACGUUACCAACAGAAUAAGCACCGGCUAACUCUGUGCCAGCAGCCGCGGUAAUACAGA
RNAcentral lists this ribosomal RNA (488 nucleotides) under uncultured bacterium. Its description in RNAcentral is "bacterial SSU rRNA". It matches the Rfam family "Bacterial small subunit ribosomal RNA", at positions 45 to 529 of the family's 1533-position model. The record is from RNAcentral.